RNAcentral lists this ribosomal RNA (153 nucleotides) under Triticum aestivum (bread wheat). RNAcentral's name for it is "partial small subunit ribosomal RNA". The record is from RNAcentral. Lineage: Eukaryota; Viridiplantae; Streptophyta; Magnoliopsida; Poales; Poaceae.
GCUCUUUUGUAUGCAGGACUUGGUACUGAUACUCUAGAAUACACAUCAAAUGGGCGCUACAUGAUAGUAGGUGGACGAAAAGUGCAUAUUGCAAUGGUGGAUAUGUGGAGUAUGGAACUCAUCAAGGAAUUUCAGGUCAACUUUUCGUAUUAA